AGGUCAUGUCUACUAUACCUUUAUCAAGGUAGGCACUCGGUCACACUGUGGGUAGUGUACCUUAGACGUUAAUCGUCAAGGGUGUGACGUGAGGUUGGGUUGAAUGCCCC
RNAcentral lists this non-coding RNA (110 nucleotides) under Paenibacillus illinoisensis. RNAcentral's name for it is "epsC RNA". It matches the Rfam family "epsC RNA". The record is from RNAcentral. Lineage: Bacteria; Bacillati; Bacillota; Bacilli; Caryophanales; Paenibacillaceae.